Passer domesticus (house sparrow) is the source of this 1271-nucleotide long non-coding RNA. RefSeq lists it as uncharacterized. NCBI's taxonomy places the organism in Eukaryota, Metazoa, Chordata, Aves, Passeriformes, Passeridae. The record is from RefSeq and is a predicted model, not a curated record. The transcript is spliced from 2 exons.
ACAGUUUUUACCCAGGGACGAGUGCACUAAGGUCUUCAGUCUUUUCCUCAUCGUUUGUUCUGUGUUUCCACCCACAUCCAGGAAAAGACAGAGAUUCUCCUUAGCCCUCCUUUUCUUGCUGAUGGAUUUACAGAAGCAUUUUUAUCCUCUUUGCAAUUUUCUAAGAAGAAAUUCUCUACAGUGAGGCUGUUGAGGCACUGGGAACAAGUUGCCCAGAAGAGCUGUGGAUGCCUAAGGAAGGGUUUGCAUCUGCCCCUGCUCUCUCCACUCCCUUCUUAGUCAUGACAUGGGGGGCCUGAAGCAACUCCAGACUGAGGACAAGGUGAACAUGGCUCAGGCUCACACAGAGAUCUGACUGCCUACAGCCUUACCAAGCAGUUUUCUCUGGACACUUCCAAUGUUCUCUUACCCACAAAGUCUUUGUCUCCCAUCCAGAAGAGCUCUAAUUCCUCCAAGCUCAGGAAGAAGCUGCUGCCUGUCUGAAGAGUGUCACAAGAAUAGGAUUUAUGUGUUCGGCUUCAUAGUUAGAGAUGGAUUUACAUUCUGAUAUUUAGAUGUCAUUUUGAAUAAAGGUUUUGAUUGUAUCUUUCAAUUUUGAUAAAAUAUUUUUAAUUCUAUAUAUUUUAUUUUGAUGAUUAGGAAAAAAAUAUUAAUUGAAAUAAGCCAAAACGAGAAUGUGACACCAGGACAUGCUAGCCUAGAGAUUAUGGCAGUGCAGCUCACUUCAUGUGCCAGUGUCUCACCACAUCCUCUCCUCACUGUGCAUCUCCUCUUCCUCUUUUGCCAUGUUUCCUUUCUGUCAUUUGUGCUACUGUUUUUAAAUUGACAUUACAAUAGGGCUACAUAUUGACAUGUUUGGGGGACAAUGGAACCAAAAGAUCCUGUAUGGUCAAAAGUUUUCUACCUGGAUGUGUUCUGUGCUCAACAAAAACCUGAGCAAAGAAACCAAGAGAAGUGUGCCCAAAUGCCAAAGCUUUGCUCCUUUGCAAUCUCACACAGAUCUGGCUCACAGGUGACUUCAGGCACAAUUUCAUAGGUAAGAAGAGGAUGUGUAUUUCACUGGGAAAAGAUGCCCUACUUUGGAAAAGUCAUGUGCAUGUGGAUUUACCCAGGACAGCAGUCCAACAGUGUUUUUUGCAACUUGCUUGCCAAGGGAUGAGUGGGCUGUGAGGCCAAUAACAAGUGACAAGGGUUCCUCAAAUCUAUUGCCACUGCAGCCUGGGUGCCCUUCUGCCCAGGGUUAUGGGAUCAUUUGUUCCCAUGGACCGGUG